RNAcentral lists this transfer RNA (73 nucleotides) under Stegodyphus dumicola. RNAcentral describes it as "tRNA-Ser". It matches the Rfam family "tRNA". Rfam says of the family: Transfer RNA (tRNA) molecules are approximately 80 nucleotides in length. Their secondary structure includes four short double-helical elements and three loops (D, anti-codon, and T loops). Lineage: Eukaryota; Metazoa; Arthropoda; Arachnida; Araneae; Eresidae. The record is from RNAcentral.
GCCUUCGUGGUGUAGUGGUCAGCAUGCUCGACGCGAAUUUGAGAGGUCCGUGGUUCGAGUCCCCGCGAGAGCA